Molecule: long non-coding RNA, 262 nt
Filed under: Chrysolophus pictus (golden pheasant)
Lineage: Eukaryota; Metazoa; Chordata; Aves; Galliformes; Phasianidae
Description: lncRNA (ENSCPIG00010005736.1)
Source: RNAcentral
UGCUAAACGAGGUUUCCAUGUUGAUGUUUAUGAGGCCAGAGAAGAUAUUCGGGUGUCCAGCUUUGCCCGUGGCAGAAGUAUUAACUUGGCCCUGUCACACAGAGGACGCCAGGCCCUGCAGGCUGUGGGGUUGGAAGAGCAGAUUGUGUCUAAAGGCAUCCCCAUGCACGCACGAAGAAUACACACGCCACUGGGGAAGAAAUACUCUAUCCCUUAUGGCAAGAAGAACCAGGUAUUUGUCUGUGCUGCUGUUUUUGUGAUU